RNAcentral lists this ribosomal RNA (320 nucleotides) under uncultured bacterium. Its description in RNAcentral is "bacterial SSU rRNA". It matches the Rfam family "Bacterial small subunit ribosomal RNA", at positions 28 to 348 of the family's 1533-position model. The record is from RNAcentral.
GACGAACGCUGGCGGCGUGCUUAACACAUGCAAGUCGAGCGGUAAGGCCCUUUCGGGGGUACACGAGCGGCGAACGGGUGAGUAACACGUGGGUGACCUGCCCUCAGCUCUGGGAUAAGCCCGGGAACUGGGUCUAAUACUGGAUAUGACUCCAUGACGCAUGUUGUGGGGUGGAAAGCCUUGUGCGGCUGAGGAUGGGGCCCGCGGCCUAUCAGCUUGUUGGNGGGGUUGAUGGCCUACCAAGGCGACGACGGGUAGCCGGCCUGAGAGGGCGACCGGCCACACUGGGACUGAGACACGGCCCAGACUCCUACGGGAGG